Molecule: ribosomal RNA, 406 nt
Filed under: uncultured bacterium
Lineage: Bacteria
Description: partial 16S ribosomal RNA
Rfam family: Bacterial small subunit ribosomal RNA
Source: RNAcentral
AUUGAACGCUAGCGGCAGGCCUAACACAUGCAAGUCGAACGAGUGGCGGACGGGUGAGUAAUGUCUGGGAAACUGCCCGAUGGAGGGGGAUAACUACUGGAAAAGGUCGCUAAUACCGCAUACCAUCGGAUGUGCCCAGAUGGGAUUAGCUAGUAGGUGGGGUAACGGCUCACCUAGGCGACGAUCCCUAGCUGGUCUGAGAGGAGGACUAGACACACUGGAACGGAGAUACGGUCCAGACUCAUACGGGAGGUAGCAGUGGGGAAUAGUGCGCAAGGGGCGCAAGCCAGAUGCAGCCAUGCCGCGUGUAUGAAGAAGGCCUUCGGGUUGUAAAGUACUUUCAGCGAGGAGGCGUUACUCGCAGAAGAAGCACCGGCUAACUCCGUGCCAGCAGCCGCGGUAAUAC